RNAcentral lists this long non-coding RNA (989 nucleotides) under Canis lupus familiaris (dog). RNAcentral describes it as "lncRNA (ENSCAFG00040001739.1)". Lineage: Eukaryota; Metazoa; Chordata; Mammalia; Carnivora; Canidae. The record is from RNAcentral.
AUGAACAACUUUUCCAGGGAUUUCAUGGCUCUCCAAUCCCAGUUCUCUCAUGAAAAUGCUAAAGAAACAGAAAAUGCCUUUCCAGGAAUUGUCAGGGAUCUAACUACAGAUGCGACUCAUUCAUUUAGAACAGUAAGUAGUUGGAAAAGGACACAAUAAUGUUCCCAGUUUGGCAUUUGUUUACCUCAGAGCUGCUAACAAAGCUAAUGUGACAACUAUUAAAAAGGAAAAUACUUUCCUUGCCUAAUUGAUGUAAAGAAUCGAAAAUGAUCAAAAUCCAAACCGAAUUUCAAUUAUUCUUCUGGCACGUACAUUUCUCAAGACUGUGAUGCUUUUUAACUUUGCUUCAUUAUCAUUUUCCAAUUGCUCUGUGGUCUUUGUAUUUUUUUUUAAUGGCAACUUGCGUCUUUAUUACUGCAGCCGUAACAUUCCAACAAUAAGCUGUGUCAUUUCUCAAGCAUUUCCCUGAGUUCCCAAUCAGCAGAGUUAUGUAAGGUGGCAGGUUAAUAAAUGCGACACACUGAAAUCAUUUGUACCAGACUACCUCUCCUUCCAAGCUCUGACAGAUGCUAAGUCCAGCUGGUAAAAAAAGUUUAUAGGCGAGUUGGAUCUGGGGUCUUCACACACUCCACAAUGUUGGCUACCAAUGCUUGUUUUAAUGAGUCACGGAUUGCCUGUUUAUCUUCUGCUCCCUGCUGUUUCUGCAUUUUCUCUUCCAGAACAAUCCUAGAAACACAUGCUGCUACAGACGCUGGAGCAAUGUGUGUAGACAUUUGAGCCAAAUUGUUAUAAAGAACUCUUUCUUCUCUGAUAUGAAAAAAGGAGCGAGAAUUGCACAUUGCCUAGCAAAUCGUUAUCUCAGAUGUUCGCUGUGACAUGCUCAAUAUGGCCUACCAGAAAAAGUUGGAGACAUUUGCAACCUUAACAACUACACAAAAUGACACUGUAAUUGGCGGGUUUUGUUGUUCAUGUUCUGGCUCAGCUAAAAC